RNAcentral lists this ribosomal RNA (425 nucleotides) under uncultured bacterium. Its description in RNAcentral is "bacterial SSU rRNA". It matches the Rfam family "Bacterial small subunit ribosomal RNA", at positions 354 to 796 of the family's 1533-position model. The record is from RNAcentral.
GUAGGGAAUAUUGCACAAUGGAGGAAACUCUGAUGCAGCGACGCCGCGUGAGUGAUGAAGGCCUUCGGGUCGUAAAACUCUGUGAUAAGGGAAGAUGAUGACGGUACCUUAUCAGAAAAGACCGGCUAACUUCGUGCCAGCAGCCGCGGUAAUACGAGGGGUCUAAGCGUUGUUCGGAAUCACUGGGCGUAAUGCGGGUGUAGGUGGCUAUGCAAGUUGGAUGUGAAAGCCCCGGGCUCAACCCGGGAAGUGCAUCCAAAACUACGUAGCUUGAGUGCGGGAGAGAAAGGCAGAAUUCCUGGUGUAGUGGUGAAAUACGUAGAUAUCAGGAGGAACUCCGGUGGCGAAGGCGGCCUUUUGGCCCAGCACUGACACUCAGACCCGAAAGCGUGGGUAGCAAACAGGAUUAGAUACCCCUGUAGUCC